This 253-nucleotide ribosomal RNA is filed under the name uncultured bacterium. Its description in RNAcentral is "partial 16S ribosomal RNA". It matches the Rfam family "Bacterial small subunit ribosomal RNA", at positions 524 to 776 of the family's 1533-position model. The record is from RNAcentral.
UACGAAGGGGGCAAGCGUUGUUCGGAAUUACUGGGCGUAAAGGGUUUGUAGGUGGCCCGCUAAGUCACACGUGAAAUCCCUCAGCUUAACUGGGGAACUGCGUGUGAGACUGGCAGGCUCGAGGGCAGGAGAGGAACGCGGAAUUCCAGGUGUAGCGGUGAAAUGCGUAGAUAUCUGGAGGAACACCGGUGGCGAAGGCGGCGUUCUGGACUGUCUCUGACACUGAAGAACGAAAGCCAGGGGAGCAAACGGG